Molecule: ribosomal RNA, 744 nt
Filed under: uncultured archaeon
Lineage: Archaea
Description: bacterial SSU rRNA
Rfam family: Archaeal small subunit ribosomal RNA
Source: RNAcentral
GCUCGAGGAUGGGUCUGCGCCGAUUAGGUAGUUGUUGGGGUAACGUCCCACCAAGCCGAAUAAUCGGUACGGGUUGUGAGAACAAAGAGCCCGAAGAUGGAUUCUGAGACACGAAUCCCAGGUCNUACGGGGCGCAGCAGGCGCGAAAAACUUUUACACUGCGCGAAAGCGCGAUAAGGGGACCUCGAGUGCAUGCGCAAUGCGUACGCUUUUCAUACGCCUAAAAAGCAUGUGGAAUAAGAGCCGGGCAAGACCGGUGCCAGCCGCCGCGGUAACACCGGCGGCUCGAGUGGUGGCCGCUAUUAUUGGGCUUAGAGGGUCCGUAGCCGGGCCAGUUAGUCCCUUGGGAAAUCUUACGGCUUAACCGUAAGGCUGCCAGUGGAUACUGCUGGUCUUGGGACCGGGAGAGGCAAGAGGUACCUCAGGGGUAGGAGUGAAAUCCUGUAAUCCUUGAGGGACCGCCAGUGGCGAAGGCGUCUUGCUAGAACGGGUCCGACGGUGGGGGACGAAAGCUAGGGGCACGAACCGGAUUAGAUACCCGGGUAGUCCUAGCCGUAAACGAUGCGAGCUAGGUGUCACGUGGAUUGCGAAUCCAUGUGGUGCCGUAGGGAAACCGUGAAGCUCGCCGCCUGGGAAGUACGGCCGCAAGGCUGAAACUUAAAGGAAUUGGCGGGGGAGCACAAGGGCGAAUUCCAGCACACUGGCGGCCGUUACUAGUGGAUCCGAGCUCGGUACCAAGCUUGC